GCAAUGAGCGCGUACCAGACGACAUACAAGCCUACGCAGCCGGAGCGCUGGAAGCUCACCUUACUCGUCGACGGUUACAACAACACUGGACGAACCUUUUCGCGGAUUACUGUGAAAAUCAGGCAGAGUACUGCCGCAAGCUCGAACAAUUCUUUUUGCAGAACAUCAAGUACACACUAGAACAAGGCCAUCAACGCAGGCACGACGACUCAUUUUGGAAUAUGGUGUACCUUUAUUACAAGCAAAUGGCGGGUCUCAGCGAUGCAUGGGAGAAUCAAACACUUGACGUUUCACGAGAAAUACAAGGGGUCCCGCGAGCUUUCUAUAUGAACGCUUUGGAUGACAUCUACGAUUUGGAAAGCGUGCUUGGGAGGAAGACAGACAUGCACUCGAUCGCGCAGAUACUUUCCUGCACUGCACUCGUCAAGAUUGUUGGUGACUUCGAUGACUUGUACAUGGCUCAUGACACGUGGUUCCUUUACCGUGGAAUGCUGCGUGUACAAAAGAUGUACAUAUUUCCUUGGCAUCGCACUGCAUCGGAUACUA
Molecule: long non-coding RNA, 546 nt
Organism: Rhipicephalus sanguineus (brown dog tick)
Lineage: Eukaryota; Metazoa; Arthropoda; Arachnida; Ixodida; Ixodidae
Exons: 3
Source: RefSeq, a predicted model, not a curated record